This 445-nucleotide ribosomal RNA is filed under the name uncultured bacterium. RNAcentral's name for it is "bacterial SSU rRNA". It matches the Rfam family "Bacterial small subunit ribosomal RNA", at positions 49 to 491 of the family's 1533-position model. The record is from RNAcentral.
UAACACAUGCAAGUCGAACGGUAACAUUUCUAGCUUGCUAGAAGAUGACGAGUGGCGGACGGGUGAGUAAUGCUUGGGAACUUGCCUUUGCGAGGGGGAUAACAGUUGGAAACGACUGCUAAUACCGCAUAAUGUCUUCGGACCAAACGGGGCUUCGGCUCCGGCGCAGAGAGAGGCCCAAGUGAGAUUAGCUAGUUGGUGAGGUAAAGGCUUACCAAGGCAACGAUCUCUAGCUGUUCUGAGAGGAAGAUCAGCCACACUGGGACUGAGACAAGGCUCAGACUCCUACGGGAGGCAGCAGUGGGGAAUAUUGCACAAUGGGGGAAACCCUGAUGCAGCCAUGCCGCGUGUGUGAAGAAGGCCUUCGGGUUGUAAAGCACUUUCAGUUGUGAGGAAAAGUUAGUAGUUAAUACCUGCUAGCCGUGACGUUAACAACAGAAGAAGC